GACGAACGCUGGCGGCGCGCCUAACACAUGCAAGUCGAACGAGCGAGAGAGAGCUUGCUUUCUCGAGCGAGUGGCGAACGGGUGAGUAACGCGUGAGGAACCUGCCUCAAAGAGGGGGACAACAGUUGGAAACGACUGCUAAUACCGCAUAAGCCCACGGGUCGGCAUCGACCAGAGGGAAAAGGAGCAAUCCGCUUUGAGAUGGCCUCGCGUCCGAUUAGCUAGUUGGUGAGGUAAUGGCCCACCAAGGCGACGAUCGGUAGCCGGACUGAGAGGUUGAACGGCCACAUUGGGACUGAGACACGGCCCAGACUCCUACGGGAGGCAGCAGUGGGGAAUAUUGCACAAUGGGGGAAACCCUGAUGCAGCGACGCCGCGUGGAGGAAGAAGGUCUUCGGAUUGUAAACUCCUGUUGUUGGGUAAGAUAAUGACGGUACCCAACAAGGAAGUGACGGCUAACUACGUG
Molecule: ribosomal RNA, 466 nt
Filed under: uncultured bacterium
Lineage: Bacteria
Description: partial 16S ribosomal RNA
Rfam family: Bacterial small subunit ribosomal RNA
Source: RNAcentral